AUUGAACGCUGGCGGCAUGCCUUACACAUGCAAGUCGAACGGCAGCACGGGUGCUUGCACCUGGUGGCGAGUGGCGAACGGGUGAGUAAUACAUCGGAACAUGUCCUGUAGUGGGGGAUAGCCCGGCGAAAGCCGGAUUAAUACCGCAUACGAUCUACGGAUGAAAGCGGGGGACCUUCGGGCCUCGCGCUAUAGGGUUGGCCGAUGGCUGAUUAGCUAGUUGGUGGGGUAAAGGCCUACCAAGGCGACGAUCAGUAGCUGGUCUGAGAGGACGACCAGCCACACUGGGACUGAGACACGGCCCAGACUCCUACGGGAGGCAGCAGUGGGGAAUUUUGGACAAUGGGCGAAAGCCUGAUCCAGCAAUGCUGCGUGUGUGAAGAAGGCCUUCGGGUUGUAAAGCACUUUUGUCCGGAAAGAAAUCCUUGGCCCUAAUACGGUCGGGGGAUGACGGUACCGGAAGAAUAAGCACCGGCUAACUACGUG
Molecule: ribosomal RNA, 486 nt
Filed under: uncultured bacterium
Lineage: Bacteria
Description: partial 16S ribosomal RNA
Rfam family: Bacterial small subunit ribosomal RNA
Source: RNAcentral